RNAcentral lists this non-coding RNA (21 nucleotides) under Caenorhabditis elegans. Lineage: Eukaryota; Metazoa; Nematoda; Chromadorea; Rhabditida; Rhabditidae. The record is from RNAcentral.
UAUGAAAGUCUCACUUAUGAA